Molecule: transfer RNA, 76 nt
Filed under: Sporomusa sphaeroides
Lineage: Bacteria; Bacillati; Bacillota; Negativicutes; Selenomonadales; Sporomusaceae
Also listed under: 4 other names
Description: tRNA-Ala
Rfam family: tRNA
About the family: Transfer RNA (tRNA) molecules are approximately 80 nucleotides in length. Their secondary structure includes four short double-helical elements and three loops (D, anti-codon, and T loops).
Source: RNAcentral
GGGGAUAUAGCUCAGCUGGGAGAGCGCUUGAAUGGCAUUCAAGAGGCCAGCGGUUCGAUCCCGCUUAUCUCCACCA